CCUACGGGAGGCAGCAGUGAGGAAUAUUGGUCAAUGGACGUGAGUCUGAACCAGCCAAGUCGCGUGAAGGAUGACUGCCCUAUGGGUUGUAAACUUCUUUUAUAUGGGAAUAAAACGUUCCACGUGUGGGAUUUUGUAUGUACCAUAUGAAUAAGGAUCGGCUAACUCCGUGCCAGCAGCCGCGGUAAUACGGAGGAUCCGAGCGUUAUCCGGAUUUAUUGGGUUUAAAGGGUGCGUAGGUGGAUUGUUAAGUCAGUGGUGAAAGUUUGCGGCUCAACCGUAAAAUUGCAGUUGAAACUGGCAGGCUUGAGUAUGGUAGAGGUGGGCGGAAUGCGUGGUGUAGCGGUGAAAUGCUUAGAUAUCACGAAGAACUCCGAUUGCGAAGGCAGUUCACUAAGCUGCAACUGACACUGAGGCACGAAAGUGUGGGGAUCAAACAGGAUUAGAUACCCGUGUAGUC
This 460-nucleotide ribosomal RNA is filed under the name uncultured bacterium. RNAcentral describes it as "partial 16S ribosomal RNA". It matches the Rfam family "Bacterial small subunit ribosomal RNA", at positions 338 to 795 of the family's 1533-position model. The record is from RNAcentral.